Molecule: long non-coding RNA, 475 nt
Organism: Mangifera indica (mango)
Lineage: Eukaryota; Viridiplantae; Streptophyta; Magnoliopsida; Sapindales; Anacardiaceae
Exons: 2
Source: RefSeq, a predicted model, not a curated record
UGUCUCAACAUGAUCAAGUGAACAAAGUAAAUAUUGAAUUUCGAAAGGUGGUAAUAUGAUACCUUUAGCAGCUAUUAUCUGUGACUUCCAGAAAUGUCCCUUAUUGCGAACCCACUCGGCAAUAAAUGGAACACCGAGGAUUGUCACUUUCCACAGCUAACUCUGAAGAAGCCAUAGAUGCCACAGCCAAAUGUCCAAUGUAAUCCUCGAACAAUUCGCUUCCAAAGAGAAGAGCAAAGACAGCAGUGGGAUCAAGCAUGGUUUCUCUGAGAUACAUAAGACAUCAACUAUCAGAGUUGAUAAAUAUCAGAAUCUUUUCAGUGUAGACAUUAAUCCCAUUAUUUAUCCAGAAUCUUCAUUUGCACUUACCAAAGAUAUUUUCCUUCUGCAAAUAUAUGAAACCAUAACCUCUUUUUGAACAUUGUAAAUACUCAGUGAUGCACUAGCUAGUUAAUAGAAUCAACUUCCAAAGCUA